AUCCAUUUCAUUUUGAUCAAACCAUACACAACACUUUCAGCCGACACCCCAUCUAGUUUCCCUCCCAUUUUCUCUAACCCACUUACCUUAUCCAAACAAAAAGAAAACACAGACAUCAACCUUCAUCUUCUUCAAAGAAAUCCCUCCAUACACACAGAGAGGCAGUCGAAUGCCUGGCCCCCUUCACUCUCCUCUCCUUCUCGAUUCCUCUCUACAACACAACAGGAGAUUCAAGCUUUCAAACAUCAUCCACAGCCAAACAACCCCACAGGCGGACUGGCUAACGUUUACCGGCUGAUGGUCGGCGCUGUUCUUCCGACGACAACCCCCCCCCUCUCGUUCUCUCUCACUCGAUGUCCAAGUCGGACCGGCUCUGGCUAUAUUCCUUCAAUGACAACGAUGAUGAUGAUGGUUGUGAUAGAAGAUGGAGGCGCGAAGGAGGAGGAGCCGCCACCCCUCCACGGUGGUGCAGGGCGGCGACAGCCGCGAUUCAGCGGCGGCGGCGACGUUCAGUGACGGAUCAGGCGGCUCCGACCAAAAGCUCCGUGUUCUGGUUCAGGGUGGUUGUCGACACGGGUCUCGGUUCCAGAUGCAAGCUCAAGCCCGGGAUGCAAACUCGCUUAAAGUAUGGUGUGAUUCAGUCAGAUUUCAGUUCCGGACCAAAUCGGUCAACGAAGUCAGCCGGUUAACUCGGGUCAACUUAGUUUGGGCCCGGGUCAACUCAGUCAACCGUCGAGUCAACUGGUCAAAGCAAGCCUACCCGGUCAACUCAGUUUGUUUCGGUCAACAGUGGUCAACGGCUGGUCAACAAUGGUCAAGUUGGGUUCGGGUCAAGCACUGAUCGGACGGGUCAGAUUCACGGGUCAGUUUCGAGUUUGUGUUCGAGUCUCGGUCAAACAGGUUUCGAGGUUCGAGUAAGCUAUGGUUAAACCGAGUCAACUCGGGUCAACUACGAGUCAACUCAGUCAACAGAUGGUCAACGAAAGACCCGGUAAAGUUGUUAGCAUAGCGGGAACACUAUAGAUGCACGCUAGCUACUUCACAUUCUUGGAAUGACAUCACGAAAUCACGUUAAGCUAGCUUUGCACAGGAAUGUCAAGGUUGCAUUUUCAAAACUAUGGAACGGUUGGAAUAGGAGAACCCAUGAGAAUUUGAGUACUUAGCAGGCGUUCAAUUUCUAGAAGUCUUAGCUAUUUGCUUCCGUUGUGCAAUGAAGAUACCAGUCCAGUCACGCCAACUCUGAUAUUUCGGGGUGUGACAGAAUGAUGAUUCAACGGCUGUAUUUCUCUGCUAUAGUUCUUGGUUAAGGCUAAAAUGAGUGUUAACUCCUGGUCAGGCUCAUCUAAUACUCAUGAUAAAUGAUUACUCGGCUAAGUGGGAGAAUGUGAGAUUAAAUAUAUAAUUAUUAUAAUAUUUAAUCCUGUAGCCAUUAUAAUCAUUUAUAUUAUGUAGAUCAAAAUAUAUUAAUAACCUAUUAAUAAUUAGUUGGUAAUUGUCGAUGGACCAUAUUACCCUUAUUAACUAAUUAGGUUUCCUCUUGAGUGUAUAUAUAAGCAGAUUAUUAGAGAGUUUAAGGGUUACACAAGUUAGACAAUUACACAAUUCACACAACCCUCAUAACAUCAAUUUCGGCUCUCCCUCCAUAACCGAUUCCUUCCCUAGUUUCGGUUCAUCACCAUCAUAAUCUUACACCCUAAGGAGGAACCAGAUCAUCCUGACAAGUAUGUCAAACUCAAUGGCUGCAUCUCUGACUGAAUUCUCUGCUGGCCUGUCUGCUGUAAAAGAUAUGUUAUUCAUGUUUUCCAUUAUGUUUAAAUAGAACUGAUCAACAGAUAGUUGAAGAAGUGGAUUCAGAUGAUAGUAACAACUAUCAUCUUUAGUAGCAAUCACCGCAUUUUGUGUAUGUUCCCUAAAACAGCCAUUUUCAUAUACUAGGUGAGAAUCUCAUCUUUAUCCGAGUGGGAAAGCAAACCGGGUCCGAGCGUGCCCGCACGACUGGGGCAUGUUCUUUGUUGAUUGGGAGAGUAAACCGGGUGAUGGUUACUUGCGCCCAAAUCUGAUGCAAUAUUUGAGACCAUACCCCUUCAAACCCCAAAGAAAAUUAUCCAAUAGAUUAAAGCUAACAACGUGGUUACCUCGAGUAGUCUCCCUUCUAUGCCCAAUUUUUACUAUAUACGAUUUAUCUCCUUUGUGUAACCAAGAUGGAAAGAUCACCUUAUUUUAAUAAUCAGUAGCUAAAUUAUUAAAGGAAGAAUAACUUUUGUUGGGUUUAAUCUUGAUUACGGGUCAAGUACGGUUUAACGAGUACGACUCAAUGGAUAGUGGUUUUAAAGGAACGUGGAGGUGCAUGUGAUGAAGAGUUGGUCAGCCAUUGACCGAGUUUAUUGCUAAAUUAACGUGGGUUAUUGAUAGUAGGACUUCAGUUUUGUUUUUUUGUUAUAAAUAGCGUGUCUGUAGCUUUGUAUUCCUUUUGUACUCUCAAUUUCAUCAAGAAAGUUUGUAAGCAUUCCUUGUGU
Molecule: RNA transcript, 2516 nt
Organism: Helianthus annuus (common sunflower)
Lineage: Eukaryota; Viridiplantae; Streptophyta; Magnoliopsida; Asterales; Asteraceae
Exons: 5
Source: RefSeq, a predicted model, not a curated record